UAGAAGUAAACAGCACAAACUCCAAGUGUAACAGCGCUGUAAUGUCUUUAUGUUGCAGCAGGGCUAUCAGUUAAAAAAAAAAAAAGACUUUUCUUUCCUUACUCUGACUCUAAACUGCACCAGCCCUGGUGAGAUGGAAAUUACUCCAAGCUUUCUCCUUGGAAGAAACUUCUUGCCCUCUUCUCUUGGUUUUUGGAGAGCAGCACAGUGCUUCUCAUGAUCUGGUAUCACUGACUCAGCUCUAGAGACCAGGAUUUACAUCAGGAACUUUCCAGCUCUGGAUGGAGGCACCAGCUCGCCAUGUGCUGUGGGAGAAGCUGCCCCCCUGCACCCUCACUGCUCCCAAUUCUUCAGGCAAGGUUAAGUACAUGUAAAUUAAAACUGCAAGCUAUUUUUGUAUAAAGUCGGUAUUACUAAUUUGUUAACUAUGACAAUUUCACACAGAAACCCUUUUGUUGGAAACUGAGUUUCUCAUGUAAUAAUUAGCUGUGGAAUAUUACCCCAAACAGGUGUCUGUAGCCUGUCAAAGUCAGAACAGGUGAUUUAGAAUUAGCGUAUUAAAAGAACUGUGAAUUAGCGAAGCAAAAACGUGUUAAUUUCUUGUUCCAUCUGUUAAUAUGAAUUCACUGCCAAAUAUUUUACUUUGUAGAACUGUGCUGGGAUUGGCAAGAACAUACACUAUAAAAAAAAAGUUUAAAGGCCUGAAUGUUUAAAAAUCAUGACAUACGUUACUGCAAAAAUAACUUCUACAUUUGAGCAAGGUUUUUUCUUUUGUAUCUUUUAAAACUUCAUAGUCAAGAACACCAGAUAAUCCAUAAAAUUAAGCUAAAAGCUCUCACACACACACAAAAAAUAAUUUUAAGGCUUUCAAAACCGAGUCUGAAUGCAGUGUCACAAGAAAAUGUAAGGAAAAUAUUAUGAAUUGGCUUGGAUAAAAACUACAAUCAAUGUUUUUAUUCUGUCUUGAAAAUAUUCAAAUACUCAAGAUAUUGGAGAUGUGAAUAAUACCGGUAUUAAACAUAAUACUGCUGUCUACCUGUAAAAGCUCUGUCCUAUCUGUACAUGAGCAUAGAUCCCAUGAACAUCCCAUUCCUCAGUCUUUUGUGAUGAUCAGCAUGUUAUGAGCAAUGGCAACAACCCUAAAACUACCUGUCUGACACGUCUGAUUCUUCACAAUAGUAUUUAUAGCAGUAGGAAUGACAUGGCUUUUUAUUAUAAUCCUCACCUUCAUGUUCUUCUCACUGGAUGCUGGAAUACUGAGCUAGUGGAGAAUCUGGAACAUGUCUGGAUGGUCAGUAUGACAAACCCACUGCACACGAAGUGGGCUUAAAGACUGAUUUUAAAGAGUCUAUAGUUCACGUUUGCUAUUAGCAAAAACAAUGUUUUUUAUGGCUCUCCUGUCUUUCAAAAAAAGAGAAUAUUUUUAAAGCAUUUUAAAUAUAAUUACCCAGCAAUGUAUUAUACAUAUCCAUCAACUAUUAAUGAACACCAGGUAUAAAUGUCCAACUCCUAAUAUAUAUGACUAAUGACUGCAAUAUAUUUCCUACUGUGAGUACUUCUCUACUUUUCUAAGCUUUUCAGGGAAAUGCCCAGUUUUGUGUUUGCUCCCUGCUGUGCCUGGUGCUUCUCUGACCCUGCACCCUUUAGAGUUUCAACAGCUGAUUUCUUCUAUCAGUCACCAGCUGUCCUGCCCUGGAGAACAUCUUGCACAAGUUGGUUCACAGGUGAGGAGGUGCAGAAGCUCAGAGGAAGAGGAAGAUCAUACAUUGAAGUGGAUGAAGGAGAAAGCUAAAGAUGUUGACAUGUAUAGAAACCUCUCAUUGACCUCCAUCUUGGUGCAUUGCUCACCAAAAAUAGUUAUACAGCUAAUCCUGCCAUCAUUUGAGUCUCUGUUGUGCCAAGAUUUUCCAAGCACGAAGAAAUCACAGAGAAACCCAUAUUGCCACUUGGAUUACAGGAGAGUGAGAAGAUGCACACCCAAUUACUGCAAAGCGUUCCAAGCAAAGCUUAGAGAUACGCAGCAGGUUCUUAACUGCAAAUGAUAUGAUAGGUAGUUUCUCCUCCCUAGUUUUCUGCCACAUCCAAGAGAUUAAUACUUACAUGAAUCAUCUGUAAUGACUAGCAUAAUUUAGGGAAGUGAAUGAGAUUUUCUGCAUUAUUUAUAUUAUGAACUCACAAGAAUAUGAAUGGUGGCUUAUGUAAAUUCAAACCAUGUUUACAGUAGCAAAGUGCAGAGAAAGACCGCAAGGGUUAAGCUGAUAUUUCCAGGGUUGGAGCUCUUUGUAUCAACACUCGAUUGCUUAUUGCUUUAGUGCUGAGUGAUGUGAGUUACAGCCUAUGAACUACAUAUGGGAAACUUUUAUUGUUUUCCACAUUUGAAUGGAAAAAUAAUUAUGUCGCUCACAUCUUUCACAUACUUAAAGUAAAUGCAUCAAAUUCUUUCUCAGGGUGUGGGCCUGAAUUCUUAUAUUUAAAAAACGAAGGCUGCCAAAGUUUUGACCUUCGAGUAAUAAAGGUUAUUUUUUUUUCUUUCUUUCUUUCUUUUAUUUUUUUAAUGCUUGAUAAUUCAACCUAAAUGUCAGCUUCAGCUUUAAAAUAGAACACAUCUAUUUGCUCAUAAUAUUUAAGAAAUACAAUGUCAUUAUGCUGUUAUCAGUGGUAAAACAUGUCUAAUCUUGAUAUAGCAUCACCUUUAACAAAUGCUUGUGGGAAAAAACUAGCGAAUGCAUAAAACAUUUUAUGUAGUUUUAAAAUAUACAAUACAUUAAAGUUUUAGUUGACUUAUCUGAAAAGACAUAUUUUUGGCACAUAAAUAAAAAAAGGCAAGGGAAGAACUUGUCAGAAGGCAAAUAAAGUAUGUAAAUUAAAUCAAAGGUAAGGCAGCUACACUUUUUGUAUAAAUAACUGUGUUAACAGAUUUUUAUGCAUAUUACAAUAUAUUCAGAUGUAUUACUUCUGCAAAAACAAAUUCGUUGCUUCUUUCCAAAAAACGGAUUAAAACAAUUUAUUUUAUAAAAUUUGGAUGGAUAGGAUAAGAAAUGU
Molecule: long non-coding RNA, 3042 nt
Organism: Neopelma chrysocephalum (saffron-crested tyrant-manakin)
Lineage: Eukaryota; Metazoa; Chordata; Aves; Passeriformes; Pipridae
Exons: 3
Source: RefSeq, a predicted model, not a curated record